This 77-nucleotide transfer RNA is filed under the name Nitrospinota bacterium. RNAcentral's name for it is "tRNA-Arg". It matches the Rfam family "tRNA". Rfam says of the family: Transfer RNA (tRNA) molecules are approximately 80 nucleotides in length. Their secondary structure includes four short double-helical elements and three loops (D, anti-codon, and T loops). The record is from RNAcentral. Lineage: Bacteria; Pseudomonadati; Nitrospinota.
GCGCCUGUAGCUCAAUUGGAUAGAGCAUCGGACUUCGGAUCCGAAGGUUGUAGGUUCGAAUCCUACCGGGCGCGCCA